Molecule: ribosomal RNA, 478 nt
Filed under: uncultured bacterium
Lineage: Bacteria
Description: partial 16S ribosomal RNA
Rfam family: Bacterial small subunit ribosomal RNA
Source: RNAcentral
GGCGAACGCUGGCGGCAUGCCUAACACAUGCAAGUCGAGCGAGCUGAUUCCUUCGGGAUGAAGCUAGCGGCGGACGGGUGAGUAACACGUGGGCAACCUGCCUCAUAGAGAGGAAUAGCCUUCCGAAAGGAAGAUUAAUACCGCAUAAGAUUGCAUCUUCGCAUGAAGAAGCAAUUAAAGGAGUAAUCCGCUAUGAGAUGGGCCCGCGGCGCAUUAGCUAGUUGGUGAGGUAACGGCUCACCAAGGCGACGAUGCGUAGCCGACCUGAGAGGGUGAUCGGCCACAUUGGGACUGAGACACGGCCCAGACUCCUACGGGAGGCAGCAGUGGGGGAUAUUACACAAUGGGGGAAACCCUGAUGCAGCAAUGCCGCGUGAGUGAUGACGGCCUUCGGGUUGUAAAGCUCUGUCUUCGGGGACGAUAAUGACGGUACCCGAGGAGGAAGCCACGGCUAACUACGUGCCAGCAGCCGCAGUAA